Molecule: ribosomal RNA, 497 nt
Filed under: uncultured bacterium
Lineage: Bacteria
Description: partial 16S ribosomal RNA
Rfam family: Bacterial small subunit ribosomal RNA
Source: RNAcentral
GAUGAACGCUGGCGGCGUGCCUAAUACAUGCAAGUCGAGCGAACAGACGAGGAGCUUGCUCCUCUGACGUUAGCGGCGGACGGGUGAGUAACACGUGGAUAACCUACCUAUAAGACUGGGAUAACUUCGGGAAACCGGAGCUAAUACCGGAUAAUAUAUUGAACCGCAUGGUUCAAUAGUGAAAGACGGUUUUGCUGUCACUUAUAGAUGGACCCGCGCCGCAUUAGCUAGUUGGUAAGGUAACGGCUUACCAAGGCAACGAUGCAUAGCCGACCUGAGAGGGUAAUCGAACAAUCCGGUGCAGUAGCACCAACAAGAGACGAGCGAGAGGCCGCAGUCGGGGAUCUCCGGUGAAGGGCGUCAACCUGACGACGCAACGUGGCAGGCAUGACGUAGAUGUGCGGAUCGGAAAAAUACGUAACUGGAGAUUAAGCAAGAUGUAGCAUAUGACGCACAACUUGGGGGACCCUCAGCAGAUUGCCACGGCUAGUGUUUUC